GGGGGCGUUCUGGUUUCGACGGGCGAUCUGAAGUGAAGGCUGCAUGCCGCGGAUGAUUCGUUGGCCGCGUUAAAAAUCGAAUCAACAACUCUAAAUGCAAACUCUAACGAGCUCGCACUCGCUGCUUAAUUGACAGCGACAUUCCUCUGCUGAAGCCUGGUCAGUGGAGGGGUGACUACUUACAGGCUGGCCAACAGAACGGGCGACCGGUUCCAAGGCGAGAUCAACAGGACGCUGGGCGAGGGAGAUGCUGUGAAUGGCAGCUCCCGAGUCGAGAUUAAAUCAUUCACUGAGCAUGGAGACGCUUUCAUCGAUGAUGGUUCGGACAGGGGUUCAACUCCCCUCGCCUCCACCA
This 355-nucleotide transfer-messenger RNA is filed under the name Phragmitibacter flavus. RNAcentral's name for it is "Standard tmRNA". It matches the Rfam family "transfer-messenger RNA". From Rfam's summary of the family: Bacterial tmRNA, also known as 10Sa RNA or SsrA, is named for its dual tRNA and mRNA-like properties. Its role is to liberate the mRNA from a stalled ribosome. Lineage: Bacteria; Pseudomonadati; Verrucomicrobiota; Verrucomicrobiia; Verrucomicrobiales; Verrucomicrobiaceae. The record is from Rfam by way of RNAcentral.